UACGUAGGGGCCAAGCGUUGUUCGGAUUCACUGGGCGUAAAGGGUGCGCAGGUGGGUUUGCAAGUUCGAUGUGAAAGCCCCGGGCUUAACCCGGGAAUGGCAUUGGAUACUGCAGAUCUGGAGGAUCGGAGGGGGGACUGGAAUUCUUGGUGUAGCAGUGAAAUGCGUAGAUAUCAAGAGGAACACCAGUGGCGAAGGCGAGUCCCUGGACGAUACCUGACACUGAGGCACGAAAGCUAGGGGAGCAAACAGG
This 253-nucleotide ribosomal RNA is filed under the name uncultured bacterium. Its description in RNAcentral is "partial 16S ribosomal RNA". It matches the Rfam family "Bacterial small subunit ribosomal RNA", at positions 524 to 776 of the family's 1533-position model. The record is from RNAcentral.